Molecule: non-coding RNA, 81 nt
Organism: Flavobacterium frigoris
Lineage: Bacteria; Pseudomonadati; Bacteroidota; Flavobacteriia; Flavobacteriales; Flavobacteriaceae
Source: Rfam
GUCUCGCAUGAGGGAUGGAAGUGGAAAUCCUUUUAUGCAGCGUAGCGAAAUAAAAGAUUGCAACGUACAGCGCGACGCUGC